This 433-nucleotide ribosomal RNA is filed under the name uncultured bacterium. RNAcentral describes it as "partial 16S ribosomal RNA". It matches the Rfam family "Bacterial small subunit ribosomal RNA", at positions 29 to 507 of the family's 1533-position model. The record is from RNAcentral.
AGCGAACGCUGGCGGCAGGCCUAACACAUGCAAGUCGAACGGAUCCUUCGGGAUUAGUGGCGGACGGGUGAGUAACACGUGGGGACGUGCCCUUUGGUUCGGAACAACUCAGGGAAACUUGAGCUAAUACCGGAUGUGCCCUUCGGGGGAAAGAUUUAUCGCCAUUGGAGCGGCCCGCGUCUGAUUAGCUAGUUGGUGAGGUAACGGCCCACCAAGGCGACGAUCAGUAGCUGGUCUGAGAGGAUGAUCAGCCACACUGGGACUGAGACACGGCCCAGACUCCUACGGGAGGCAGCAGUGGGGAAUCUUGCGCAAUGGGCGAAAGCCUGACGCAGCCAUGCCGCGUGAAUGAUGAAGGUCUUAGGAUUGUAAAAUUCUUUCAGCGGGGACGAUAAUGACGGUACCCGCAGAAGAAGCUCCGGCUAACUUCGUG